This 517-nucleotide non-coding RNA is filed under the name Erinaceus europaeus (western European hedgehog). Its description in RNAcentral is "Eukaryotic large subunit ribosomal RNA". It matches the Rfam family "Eukaryotic large subunit ribosomal RNA", at positions 2392 to 3002 of the family's 3401-position model. The record is from Rfam by way of RNAcentral. Lineage: Eukaryota; Metazoa; Chordata; Mammalia; Eulipotyphla; Erinaceidae.
AAUCAGCAGGGAAAGAAGACCCUGUUGAGUUCUGGCACGGUGAAGGUGAAGUGACAUGAGAGGUGUAGACUAAGUGGGAGGCCCCCUCAGUGCCCUCCCCCACCCUGCGAGGGGCCGGAGUGGUCCACCGGCCUUGAGGGCUGCAGGUGAAAUAUCACUUUGAUUGUUUUUUUUCAUUGACCCAGUGAGUCAGGGUUGGGUUUGGGGGGGUGAUCCCUGAGGGGCUGUCGCUUCUGGCGCCAAGCGCCAGGCCAGCAUUGGCCAGGCACAACCUGUUUCGGUGGCUGUGCCAGGUGGGGAGUUUGACUUGGGCGGUACACCUGUCAAACGGUAACACAGAUGUACUGAGGCCAGCUCAGGGAGGACAGACACCUCCCAUGGAGCAGAAGAGAUCCUUCAAUGUUAGUUCUUCCUAUCACUGUGAAGCAGAAUUCACCAAGCUAAUAUUGUUCACCCACUAAUACAGACCAUGAGCUGGGAUUAGACCAUUAGUUAGGUUAGUUUUAUCCUACUGAUG